ACUCCGACUGCUCUGAGGUCCAGCACCCCCGGCCACCCCAGGACUCCCGAAGAGGCUGCUAGGUCGGCCUGCCCAAAGAGCGGUGAGGAGCGUAUGUGAAGAGCCCCAGUCUUGAGGAGCAGCCUGUAUCUGGAGAGAGGGGAGCCCCGGACCAGAGGUGGGGGACAGGAAGCCAUCGCCCCACCCUGCCUCCUCCCCCACCACAGGUGGCCCUCGCCCCGGCCCACCCGCGCCUCCCAGGCCCAGCCUCACCUGCUGCCGAGAGAGGACAGUGAUCCCCCAAAAGCCGGAGGUGGAGGAGGAGGAGGAAGAGGAGGAAGGAGCUGGAGGAGCCGGGGACUCGCCCGCUGAAGAUGCUCUUGUCAAGACAAUGAAUGAGAAGCAGCCGUGCGCCCGCCUCCGGGGUGGCCGCGCCCCUUGGGGCGGAGCUCUUCCAGGCCCGCCCUGCGCUCCCGGGCUCCCGCUGCGGCCGC
This 473-nucleotide long non-coding RNA is filed under the name Homo sapiens (human). RNAcentral describes it as "non-protein coding lnc-BOLA2B-1:8". Lineage: Eukaryota; Metazoa; Chordata; Mammalia; Primates; Hominidae. The record is from RNAcentral.